Molecule: ribosomal RNA, 254 nt
Filed under: uncultured bacterium
Lineage: Bacteria
Description: partial 16S ribosomal RNA
Rfam family: Bacterial small subunit ribosomal RNA
Source: RNAcentral
UACGGGGGGGGCAAGCGUUGUUCGGAAUUACUGGGCGUAAAGGGCUCGUAGGCGGCCAACUAAGUCAUACGUGAAAUCCCUCGGCUUAACCGGGGAACUGCGUCUGAUACUGGAUGGCUUGAGAUUGGGAGAGGGAUGCGGAAUUCCAGGUGUAGCGGUGAAAUGCGUAGAUAUCUGGAGGAACACCGGUGGCGAAGGCGGCAUCCUGGACCAACACUGACGCUGAGUGAGCGAAAGCCAGGGGAGCAAACGGG